Molecule: unclassified non-coding RNA, 148 nt
Organism: Macaca fascicularis (crab-eating macaque)
Lineage: Eukaryota; Metazoa; Chordata; Mammalia; Primates; Cercopithecidae
Rfam family: Metazoan signal recognition particle RNA
About the family: The signal recognition particle (SRP) is a universally conserved ribonucleoprotein. It is involved in the co-translational targeting of proteins to membranes.
Source: Ensembl
GCUGGGUGUGGUGGUGCAUGCCUGUAAUCCCAGCUACUCGGGAAGCUGAGGCAGGAGGGUUGCUUGAGUCCAGGAGUUCGAGGCUGCAGUGAGCUAUCGUCGUGCCACUGCACUGAAGCCUGGGCAACAAAGUGAGACUCUGUCUCUA